UGUCACUUAUAGAUGGAUCCGCGCUGCAUUAGCUAGUUGGUAAGGUAACGGCUUACCAAGGCAACGAUGCAUAGCCGACCUGAGAGGGUGAUCGGCCACACUGGAACUGAGACACGGUCCAGACUCCUACGGGAGGCAGCAGUAGGGAAUCUUCCGCAAUGGGCGAAAGCCUGACGGAGCAACGCCGCGUGAGUGAUGAAGGUCUUCGGAUCGUAAAACUCUGUUAUUAGGGAAGAACAUAUGUGUAAGUAACUGUGCACAUCUUGACGGUACCUAAUCAGAAAGCCACGGCUAACUACGUGCCAGCAGCCGCGGUAAUACGUAGGUGGCAAGCGUUAUCCGGAAUUAUUGGGCGUAAAGCGCGCGUAGGCGGUUUUUUAAGUCUGAUGUGAAAGCCCACGGCUCAACCGUGGAGGGUCAUUGGAAACUGGAAAAC
This 436-nucleotide ribosomal RNA is filed under the name Staphylococcus aureus. RNAcentral's name for it is "bacterial SSU rRNA". It matches the Rfam family "Bacterial small subunit ribosomal RNA", at positions 213 to 641 of the family's 1533-position model. The record is from RNAcentral. Lineage: Bacteria; Bacillati; Bacillota; Bacilli; Caryophanales; Staphylococcaceae.